GGAGAAAAGCGGGGGGAUCGCAAGACCUCGCGCUAUUGGAGCGGCCGAUGUCAGAUUAGGUAGUUGGUGAGGUAAAGGCUCACCCAAGCCUUCGAUCUGUAGCUGGUCUGAGAGGACGACCAGCCACACUGGGACUGAGACACGGCCCAGACUCCUACGGGAGGCAGCAGUGGGGAAUUUUGGACAAUGGGCGCAAGCCUGAUCCAGCAAUGCCGCGUGCAGGAUGAAGGCCUUCGGGUUGUAAACUGCUUUUGUACGGAACGAAAAAGUCUGCCCUAAUACGGCGGGCCCAUGACGGUACCGUAAGAAUAAGCACCGGCUAACUACGUGCCAGCAGCCGCGGUAAUACGUAGGGUGCGAGCGUUAAUCGGAAUUACUGGGCGUAAAGCGUGCGCAGGCGGUUAUGUAAGACAGAUGUGAAAUCCCCGGGCUCAACCUGGGAAUUGCAUUAGUGACUGCAUAGCUAGAGUGCGGCAGAGGGGGAUGGAAUUCCGCGUGUAGCAGUGAAAUGCGUAGAUAUGCGGAGGAACACCGAUGGCGAA
This 542-nucleotide ribosomal RNA is filed under the name uncultured bacterium. RNAcentral's name for it is "bacterial SSU rRNA". It matches the Rfam family "Bacterial small subunit ribosomal RNA", at positions 198 to 719 of the family's 1533-position model. The record is from RNAcentral.